This 492-nucleotide ribosomal RNA is filed under the name uncultured bacterium. Its description in RNAcentral is "partial 16S ribosomal RNA". It matches the Rfam family "Bacterial small subunit ribosomal RNA", at positions 29 to 507 of the family's 1533-position model. The record is from RNAcentral.
AGUGAACGCUGGCGGUAGGCCUAACACAUGCAAGUCGAACGGCAGCACAGUAAGAGCUUGCUCUUACGGGUGGCGAGUGGCGGACGGGUGAGGAAUACAUCGGAAUCUACUUUUUCGUGGGGGAUAACGUAGGGAAACUUACGCUAAUACCGCAUACGACCUACGGGUGAAAGCAGGGGAUCUUCGGACCUUGCGCGAUUGAAUGAGCCGAUGUCGGAUUAGCUAGUUGGCGGGGUAAAGGCCCACCAAGGCGACGAUCUGUAGCUGGUCUGAGAGGAUGAUCAGCCACACUGGAACUGAGACACGGUCCAGACUCCUACGGGAGGCAGCAGUGGGGAAUAUUGGACAAUGGGCGCAAGCCUGAUCCAGCCAUACCGCGUGGGUGAAGAAGGCCUUCGGGUUGUGAAGCCCUUUUGUUGGGAAAGAAAAGCAGCAGGUUAAUACCCCGCUGUUCUGACGGUACCCAAAGAAUAAGCACCGGCUAACUUCGUG